UAGGGAAUAUUGGACAAUGGGGGCAACCCUGAUCCAGCCAUGCCGCGUGAGUGAAGAAGGCCCUCGGGUUGUAAAGCUCUUUUGUCCGGAAAGAAAAGCAUUCGGUGAAUACCCGGAUGUUCUGACGGUACCGGAAGAAUAAGCACCGGCUAACUUCGUGCCAGCAGCCGCGGUAAUACGAAGGGUGCAAGCGUUACUCGGAAUUACUGGGCGUAAAGCGUGCGUAGGUGGUUGUUUAAGUCUGAUGUGAAGGCCCUGGGCUCAACCUGGGAAUGGCAUUGGAAACUGGGCAGCUAGAGUGCGGUAGAGGGUAGUGGAAUUCCCGGUGUAGCAGUGAAAUGCGUAGAGAUCGGGAGGAACAUCUGUGGCGAAGGCGACUGCCUGGACCAGCACUGACACUGAGGCACGAAAGCGUGGGGAGCAAACA
RNAcentral lists this ribosomal RNA (427 nucleotides) under uncultured bacterium. RNAcentral's name for it is "bacterial SSU rRNA". It matches the Rfam family "Bacterial small subunit ribosomal RNA", at positions 355 to 774 of the family's 1533-position model. The record is from RNAcentral.